GAAAGUAGACUAUUAUCUGAAUAGUGGCCGAUUAGGAAAAGGGGAGAUGCAACGAGACCUGGGUGUAAUGGUACACCAGUCAUUGAAAGUAGGUAUGCAGGUGCAGCAGGCAGUAAAGAAAGCGAAUGGUAUGUUAGCAUUCAUGGCAAAAGGGUUUGAGUAUAGGAGCAAGGAGGUUCUACUGCAGCUGUACAGGGCCUUGGUGAGACCACACCUGGAGUAUUGUGUACAGUUUUGGUAAUCAUAAUCUGAGGAAAGACCUUCUUGCCAUAGAGGGAGUACAGAGAAGGUUCACCAGACUGAUUCCUGGGAUGGCAGGACUUUCAUAUGAAGAAAGACUAGAUAGACUUGGCUUGUACUCUCUAAAAUUUAGAAGAUUGAGGGGGGAUCUUAUAGAAACUUGCAAAAUUCUUAAGGGGUUGCACAGGCUAGAUGCAGGAAGGUUGUUCCCGAUGCUGGGGAAGUCCAGAACACGGGGUCACAGUUUACAAGAUGAGAAAAACAUUUUUCACACAGAGUGAUGAAUCUGUGGAAUUCUCUGCCACAGAAGGUAGUUGAGGCCAGUUCAUUGGCUAUAUUUAAGAGGGAGUUAGAUGUGGCCCUUGUGGCUAAAGGGAAGAGGGGGUAUAGAGGCAGGUACAGGAGGCAGGUUGGAUGAUCAUAUUGAAUGGCGGUGCAGGCUCGAAGGGCCGAAUGGCCUACUCCUGCACCUAUUUUCUAUGUUUCUAAAAUAAAGUAGGAUAUAGCUAAGCGCAAGGCUUCGUUAUAUUUUUUAUUAGCGAUCUUGUAAAGAACACAAAUUGCAUUCAGAGUGUAAAACACGGGGAGUCUCUAGCAGUACCAACAAGUUUCCUUAUAUCUAUAACCAACAAGUUGGUCAGCUGAUCUGCACAUUGACACAUCGUUUGUACGUAUUGCGUCAUGACGUAAACGCCCCUACCUUAGAUAGUUAAUUCAUCAUAAACCUCAUCUCCAGCUCAACAAAGUCAUUUUGAUCCCAACCCAAACCCUGAAAUGAGCUUCCUUGCUUCUCUGUUCUACCGUUUCUGCCGGAAUUUUACUUUUUGUUUGAUGGUGUUUAUUUUCAUUUUUGUUUUGGCUUUCCUGUUUGCUUUUGACUUAGAAUCCCACUUGCCCGUCUACCAAAUAUUUUAGUGGCUAUUUGUCACAUCUAGGGCUGUGCGUUGUGCGUGGACAGGCUGCCAACUUCACGCCGAGAAAUUGCGGAAUGAGAUAUAAGGGAAUAUGCGAACGACAUGGAGACGCAAGAAAACUGCAGAUGCUGGGAUCUGGAACAAAAAACAAACGGCUGAAGAACCUAGAAACAAACUGCUCGAGGACAAAAAGGCAAACUGCUGGAGCCAUCCAUGGGAAACAGUCAUCAAAGCCGCUAUGCGAAAAUAUCCGAACCCCAUGAACCCCAAUGUGGUGGGAGUGGAUGUACUGGAGAGAAAUCUCGAUACACGAGGGAGAUUGCAUAGCCAGCGUCUGCUUUGUACAGAGUGGGGAAUCCCUAGCAUUGUUAUGACUAUUCUGGGAACAAACAGGACCACAACGUAUAUUAAAGAAAAUUCUGUUGUUGAUCCAAUUGAACGCACUAUGGAACUCUGUUCUUCUAAUAUAACUCUUACUAAUUUGGUGUCAGUAGAUGAAAGACUGAUCUAUCGACCACAUCCUGAGAAUCCAGAAAAAACCAUUUUAACCCAAGAAGCUAUUAUUACUGUGAAAGGAGUUAUCUUAAGCAACUAUCUGGAAGGAUUAAUGGCCAACACCAUUUCUGCUAAUGCAGGGAAGGGGUGGGAUGCUAUUGAGUGGAUAAUUCAAAACUCUGAAAGUGUUAACUAACAGCUUUCACUUCUGCAUUUUGCUCUUAGUGUUAUCUGUGGACUGAUCCUUGCACAUGUUAAAACGUACUGAUCUUUGCAUUUUGUGGGAAGCAACAUAAAUAACACAAACGUAUUUUUGGAAGCAAAUUGAAUGGAUGCAUUGAAGAUAGAAUUCAGCUUUUUAAUUUUGGCUGCAAAGCAAUCGAGUUUGUAAUAAGUAAGAUGAGACUGAAGAACUAGCGGCAUCUGACCAGGAGAGUACGAAGUCACUGCUGGCUGUGGCACGGCUGAACACUUGACAGUUCAGCCCAUGGCUGUGCUACACUUUGACUUGUAUUCAGGAAACUCACUUAGUAACAUGUUCUGUAUUAUUUUAAAGUGAAUGUCGUGCUUUUUGUUGGCGGGGGGGGGGGGAAUUAUAAGCUACAAAAUUGACUUUGAAUGUAUCAAAUAUUCAGAUCAUGAAAGUAAGCAGCCAGCUUGGAUGUGAGAUGCUGUGUUUGGGAUUAUUUAUAGAAAGAUAUGUGUUUGUAGUGUCCUUGACAAACAUCCAUUCAACAGCAGUCUGCAGAGGGAUGUCACUUGGUACAUGCACUUUUUAAACAAAGGGCCGUUUCCUGGAAAUAGAACCAGAGACAUUACACAAACAUAUGGACUUAAAAACUAUUUUGAUCGGCACUUGGUGCAUUGCAUUUGAUUUAUACUUGAAGGUGGAGUGGAUAGUGACAAUGCCUUACAGUGCUGAAUUAAUAAAAAGUGUAGAUUUUGGAACAAUGUUACGAUCGCAUAUGUAAAAUGGAUUUUAUUUGUGUCAUUAA
Molecule: RNA transcript, 2644 nt
Organism: Leucoraja erinaceus (little skate)
Lineage: Eukaryota; Metazoa; Chordata; Chondrichthyes; Rajiformes; Rajidae
Gene: prelid3a
Gene name: PRELI domain containing 3A
Exons: 9
Source: RefSeq, a predicted model, not a curated record